Pelobates cultripes (western spadefoot toad) is the source of this 328-nucleotide non-coding RNA. NCBI's taxonomy places the organism in Eukaryota, Metazoa, Chordata, Amphibia, Anura, Pelobatidae. The record is from the annotation of a GenBank genome assembly.
UUAUAAUUACACAAAACAGGCAUCUGACCACACAACUCUAUACACACAUACAGUUUAAUAGACAUAUAUACACGAUCAUUAGAGCUUAUAAUUAUGUACACUUGUGGUAAAACAGACAUUUAUAUACACCUACGGGGUUAUUGACUUAUCAGGAAUUCAAAGUCAAAUUUCAGCCUUAAAAUAGCGAAGAUUAAACUCUAGUUGACCAGGAGAACGUUACCAAAUAAGCUAUAGAGGCCUAAAACAUUUAUUCACUUUCAUUUAAAUUUAAUUCCUUGCAAUUCAGACUUAAGUGAAUAACCCUGAUACAGUUAAACAGACAUGUUUU